GACCUCACUACAAAGAUGAAAAAUGCAUCUUCAAAGCAUUUACAUUUGAGAACAAACUAUGACUGUUUUAUGCAGAACUUUUUUUUUAUAAAAAGUACACAAGAUACAUUUGAAAAAAUAGAAAGAAAUCAAAAGAAGUUGGAAGAAAAUGUAGUAAACUUUCCAAGGCACACACAGAGCACUCGAGUAGAAUGAGGCCAAGGAGUAUGGUGGGAAUGUGACAUUGAACAUCGAGCAAGAUGGGAUUUAGAGGAGAAGCAAAAACAAACACAAGAAGCAGCUCCAGAAAUUACAGAGCAGUUCAGAAAAACUAAUUUUACUUCAAUAAGAAGUCAGAUGGAACUCAGAAUUAGCCAUCUGGAAUCUGAACUGAAAAUUCUAAGAAAUGCAACUGAGAGAAUAUAGGCACUUCCAUAUAGAACAAUCCAGAUUCCACAAAAUAUGUAGACCAAUAUGGAUCCCAGCAAGACUUGUGCAACACUUGAUGGCUGAUUCCCCAGAUGCAGAUACUGACUCUCAAGAUGAGAAAGCAUCACCAAUGACAAUAAACCAGAAUAUCCAAAAACCUGUGGUGAUGUCAAUGUGUUGGUCAAACAAUCUGAACAGAUGGGAUAAAUU
Ictidomys tridecemlineatus (thirteen-lined ground squirrel) is the source of this 618-nucleotide non-coding RNA. The record is from RefSeq and is a predicted model, not a curated record. NCBI's taxonomy places the organism in Eukaryota, Metazoa, Chordata, Mammalia, Rodentia, Sciuridae.